GUUCUUACUAUGUGGCAGUAUCGUAGCCAAUGAGGUUUAUCCGAGGCGCGAUUAUUGCUAAUUGAAACUAUGUGUCCCGCGAUGCCCUCAAGGCUGAAUGUACAUUAUCGCAAUUUUCCUGGGGGUAAGGUAUUAUUUCC
Small nuclear RNA from Neogale vison (American mink), 140 nucleotides. RefSeq annotates it as U4 spliceosomal RNA. NCBI's taxonomy places the organism in Eukaryota, Metazoa, Chordata, Mammalia, Carnivora, Mustelidae. The record is from RefSeq and is a predicted model, not a curated record. The transcript has a single exon.